GACGAACGCUGGCGGCGUGCUUAACACAUGCAAGUCGAACGGAAAGGCCCUGCUUUUGUGGGGUGCUCGAGUGGCGAACGGGUGAGUAACACGUGAGUAACCUGCCCUUGACUUUGGGAUAACUUCAGGAAACUGGGGCUAAUACCGGAUAGGAGCUCCUGCUGCAUGGUGGGGGUUUGAAAGUUUCGGCGGUUGGGGAUGGACUCGCGGCUUAUCAGCUUGUUGGUGGGGUAGUGGCUUACCAAGGCUUUGACGGGUAGCCGGCCUGAGAGGGUGACCGGCCACAUUGGGACUGAGAGACGGCCCAGACUCCUACGGGAGGCAGCAGUGGGGAAUAUUGCACAAUGGGCGGAAGCCUGAUGCAGCAACGCCGCGUGCGGGAUGACGGCCUUCGGGUUGUAAACCGCUUUCGCCUGUGACGAAGCGUGAGUGACGGUAAUGGGUAAAGAAGCACCGGCUAACUACGUG
RNAcentral lists this ribosomal RNA (468 nucleotides) under uncultured bacterium. RNAcentral describes it as "partial 16S ribosomal RNA". It matches the Rfam family "Bacterial small subunit ribosomal RNA", at positions 28 to 507 of the family's 1533-position model. The record is from RNAcentral.